Sugiyamaella lignohabitans is the source of this 158-nucleotide non-coding RNA. The record is from Rfam. NCBI's taxonomy places the organism in Eukaryota, Fungi, Ascomycota, Dipodascomycetes, Dipodascales, Trichomonascaceae.
AACAGGCUUAUUUCCCGAGAGAGUACAUAUUGUAAGGGAAGUUUGGCACCUCGAUGUCGACUCAGCGUAUCCUACAGGUUGUAGUUGCUUGUAAGGGUUUGACUGUUCGUCAAAUAAAACGCUACGUGAGUUGGGUUAAGAACGUCGCAAGACAGUUC